AGAACGAACGCUGGCGGCAUGCCUAAUACAUGCAAGUCGAACGAACACUUCGGUGUUAGUGGCGCACGGGUGCGUAACGCGUGGGAAUCUGCCCUUGGGUUCGGAAUAACAGUUGGAAACGACUGCUAAUACCGGAUGAUAUCGAAAGAUCAAAGAUUUAUCGCCCAGGGAUGAGCCCGCGUAGGAUUAGCUAGUUGGUGAGGUAAAGGCUCACCAAGGCGACGAUCCUUAGCUGGUCUGAGAGGAUGAUCAGCCACACUGGGACUGAGACACGGCCCAGACCU
Molecule: ribosomal RNA, 284 nt
Filed under: uncultured soil bacterium
Lineage: Bacteria
Description: partial 16S ribosomal RNA
Rfam family: Bacterial small subunit ribosomal RNA
Source: RNAcentral